This 496-nucleotide ribosomal RNA is filed under the name uncultured bacterium. RNAcentral's name for it is "partial 16S ribosomal RNA". It matches the Rfam family "Bacterial small subunit ribosomal RNA", at positions 28 to 506 of the family's 1533-position model. The record is from RNAcentral.
GAUGAACGCUGGCGGCGUGCCUAAUACAUGCAAGUCGAGCGAACAGACGAGGAUCUUGCUCCUCUGACGUUAGCGGCAGACGGGUGAGUAACACGUGGAUCACCUACCUAUAAGACUGGUAUAACUUCGGGAAACCGGAGCUAAUACCGGAUAAUAUAUUGAACCGCAUGGUUCAAUAGUGAAAGACGGUUUUGCUGUCACUUAUAGAUGCAUCCGGGCCUCGUUAGCUAGUUGGUAAGGUAACGGCUUACCAGGGCAAUGAUGCGUAGCCGACCUGAGGGGGGGUAGGGGCACAGGGGAGGUGAGACACGGCCCAGACACCGAGGGGAGGCAGAAGCAGGGAAGCUACCGAAAUGGGGGAAAGCCUGACGGAGCAACGCAGCGGGAGUGAAGAAGGUCUGCGGGUCGUAAAACGCUGUUAUGAGGGAAGAACAAAUGCGUAUGUAACUAUGCACGUCUGGACGUUACCUAUACAGAAGGCCACGGUAACUUCCGU